UUUAAUAUUUUUUCUCAUUUGCAAAGUUUACACAUGGUCAAGUUUAAAACCUAAACCAACAUAAUUUAAAAAAUUAAACUAUGUCAGAAUUAGCCCUCAAAAUUUGCUUCAGUGUAUUCCCUUCGGCAAUGUUUACAUUGCUGCGCAGUCUGUUCCAAUCAACGGAAAAAAUAUAGUGAACCUAAACCUUGUCCCCGGAUGUGCAUUCGGAAUGGUUCCGUCUCCUAAACUGAAGAUCAAUCACCCACUGCAAGAAUGCCAGCACUUCGUACAUUUUGCGGCGGAAGAUUUGUGAGCCUCAUCCGGCAACCGAAAAGCAAAACUGAUCUCCCAAGAAUGUGAGCUUCUUGACUACGGUCCAUCACAUGAUAUUAUCCUGUCGGCAUCGAAAAUGAAAGCCCACAUUCCCAGACGUGGCCUCAACUGUCUCCCGGCAUACGGUUUUCCUUAUCGGGCAUUAUACAAAGUUUUCCAGCCAGAGCGAGAGAUUUUAAGCUGUAUUUGAAUGAAAAUCGUUAUGUUGAUUCUUGUAAGCAAUAAUAAACUUUUUCUCGGUUUUGUUUUUUA
Molecule: long non-coding RNA, 567 nt
Organism: Aedes aegypti (yellow fever mosquito)
Lineage: Eukaryota; Metazoa; Arthropoda; Insecta; Diptera; Culicidae
Exons: 3
Source: RefSeq, a predicted model, not a curated record